UGCUACUAGUUUCAGUAUUUAAAGUAGCAUGGACUCGAACACAUUCUUCAUUUUUUGCACCAUUGACUCAAACCCUGGGUGUUUGUCGCGCGCUCGACUGUUUGACAGCUCUUUUUUUCUGUUGAUGAAAAAAUGUGUGCCCCCGAGUUGGAACUGUUGGAAUGGUUUCGUUUGCUUUAAUCGAUAAAUGGAACUUCCUCUUUCGCAUUCGGGGAACAAAAACCGGUGAGCCCGUUUCCAAGCAGGAGAUGAUCAAGAUGGAAGAUACUGUUCGGUUAUGUUUUUGGAUUUUAUUUAUCCUUGUGUGCAAGCCCGGAAUCAGACUGCAGUUGAAACGGUGCCGCAGGAUUUAUCACUGGAAACUGGCGCGGAAGCAAGGAAUCGAUUUUUUUUCGUAAAAGGAGGAGGAGCUGUUGGGUGCUUAAUCGUUAAUCCUGCGGAGAGCCACCAAUAAUUUUAGUGUCCGCUGAAGUGCCGUCAGACUUGGGAGCUGCAUGGAUCCGCUCAAGCAUAGACAGCACACAAGGAUCGAUUUGGAAUUUCUCAAGAUUUCCCGCAAUCAUCCGGAUUUGAGACUACGGUAAUCGGAAAGGAAUCCAAAUGGCCACAACAUUUGGACUAGUUUUGUCUUUGAAUCAUCUAUCCUUACCUGUGGAGAACGCAAGUCUUAGAAUUGUUGUGAUUGGCUGGAUUAUGGCUUCUUCUUCGGAUGCAGACAUGCUAUUUGAGGGGACAAUCAAUGCAAACAUCCAACUUAAGGUGAUUUGGCCGGCACUGGAACCCUUAGAAGAGCCUCGUUUUAUGAUCAAAGAAAGCAGAAGUGUUAAGCUAGAGUUCCGAAUUUUACUGGUGAGGAAAACAGUGCGAAGAAAGGAGGUGGAAAAUAAAUAAAAACCAAAAUAAAUUGUUCUUUUUACUAAAAAGAAAUACAAUCCAAUCAUUGAAACCAACG
Uranotaenia lowii is the source of this 952-nucleotide long non-coding RNA. RefSeq lists it as uncharacterized. Lineage: Eukaryota; Metazoa; Arthropoda; Insecta; Diptera; Culicidae. The record is from RefSeq and is a predicted model, not a curated record. The transcript has 5 exons.